AUGACUUUCAUGCAGCAGGAGCUGCAGGCAAGUCUGAAACUACAGAAACGGAACAGAGAACAAGCUGAAAGAAACAAAAACUCCACACAAGGGAAAAACAAAGCAAGGAAAUCUGAAGUUCCAUCUUUGCUACAGGUUGUUAUGACACACCAUGGCCAUCAAGCAUACCAGUCAUCACACAGACCUCCUCAAAAAACAGUUAUGGAAGGAAACGUGGAUCUGUCACCAAAUCUAGAAACAAACAUGACCUUAAGUUUCCUGUUACAGACAACCUAUCAGUCAAGCAGAAGUUGAAACACAACAUAACCUAUAAAAAAAAAAAAAAAAAGAGAAAGAUGUGCAUGACCCAAAUAAAGCCACCUCAGGUGAGUACUGCCUACAUGGAAUCAAGCCAUUUGUCCUGAUGCUAGACAUUGCAAACUGGAUGGAUGUUAAUCUAAGUUAAUCACGCUUGUAUUACUGCCGGGAAUAGACAUUUGCUUUAUUUUUUUCAUACAAACACAUUAGUUUAAUAAGAAUGUACCUUCAAAGUAGAGCUCACACUUACAUUUUAGGUUGGUUUUAAACUGUCACACAGUGGAAAUUUUUAAACUGGAAUUACACCUAUAAUGAUAAACUUUGAGAACUACAUGAAAUGUCUCAGUGGUGUUAUUCAGCACACCUGAAAUUAAUUUUAGAAUAAGGAAUCACAGAAUAUGCAUACAUGCCUUUUAGAAUUGUGGGAUCAAAGGCCAGAGAUAAAGCAUGUCUUCUAAUCUCCCUAUUCCUCCAGGGCGCAGGCAAAGUUUUGCAGGCAUGUUCACAAGGCUUUUAAUGAGCACAGGAUCGAGUCUUUAUUUCAUCCAACUUUGCAAUUGGUGGAGAUAAGACGGGUAAUUUA
This 880-nucleotide long non-coding RNA is filed under the name Anas zonorhyncha (Eastern spot-billed duck). RNAcentral's name for it is "lncRNA (ENSAZOG00000010880.1)". Lineage: Eukaryota; Metazoa; Chordata; Aves; Anseriformes; Anatidae. The record is from RNAcentral.